AGAAUGGCUCCUCUCGGAGCCAUUUUUUUUACCUACUCCGUUAAUU
This is a non-coding RNA of Idiomarina sp. A28L, 46 nucleotides long. The record is from Rfam. Lineage: Bacteria; Pseudomonadati; Pseudomonadota; Gammaproteobacteria; Alteromonadales; Idiomarinaceae.